RNAcentral lists this transfer RNA (70 nucleotides) under Megaxyela euchroma. RNAcentral describes it as "tRNA-Val". Lineage: Eukaryota; Metazoa; Arthropoda; Insecta; Hymenoptera; Xyelidae. The record is from RNAcentral.
CAAAUUAGAGCUUGAAAGUUAAGCAUUUCAUUUACAUUGAGAGGUUGUCGUGCGAUUCGAUUUAAUUUGA